ACCAGCUUGUCGGCGCCAUUUUGUCUCGGCAGCGGUGGCCGUAGCUCCAUCGCAUUUUAUGUUUCUGGCGAGAAGGGAACGGAGUUUUCAUCAGGUAGAUUGGUUUUUGUGCGGCCGUCCUCCACCGUUUCCUCCAGGACAGCACCUAGUCGUGGCCGGAGGAGUCUCAGAGCUGUCAGAAAGAAUAAGACUGAUUUUAUGGGAAAAUUAAGCAGAUGCUCCAGUUUGAGAAACCUGGAUCUGCGAUCUGUUUGUGAGUGGUAUUCAGUUAAGAGAACAAUUAUUUCGUAUAAGCCACAUCAGAGACGACUGAAGAUGAAAAAACUACCAUCCCCGUAUAUAACUAAUUUGUGCUGUGCACCAACAAGAACCUGCUUUAAAUUUCCAUGGCAAUUUACAACCCCCAUACUGUACCAGGCAAGGUACCAGCAUCAAGAUGAUUUAUGGUAAUAAGAUAUAAAACCAAGGAAAAUAACCUAAAGUCUGAAAAAGACCAGAAUCGAAGUUUCCUGAUUCAUAUUUUAAUGUUUUGAAAUUUAUACUCCAGGCUGGGUGCAGUGGCUUGUGCCUGUAAUCCCAGCACUUUGGGAGGCCGAGGCGGCCGGAUUGCCUGAAGUCAGAAGUUCGAGACCAGCCUGACCAACAUGGUGAAACCCUGUCUCUACUUAAAAAUACAAAAGAGCUGGGCAUGGAGGUGGUGCGCGCCUGUAACCCUAGCUACUCGGGAGGCUGAGGCCUAAGAAUCUCUUGAACCCAGGAGGCAGAGGUUGUAGUGAGCCGGGAUCACGCCACUGCACUCUAGCCUGGGCGACAGAGAGAGAGACUGUCUAAAAAAGGAAAAGAAAAAAAUUUAUACGCCAAAAAAGAUAUUCUGAGAUAACCUGUAGUUACCACUAACUUUGUGACAAAAUUAUAAAAAUCCACAGCCAUCUAUGAAUCUGUAGGCAGACCUGAAGUUUGAACGACUGGUGAAGACAUCUGAUUUUCUUUAUAGCCAAGUUAGGAUAACAAAAUGCAAACAAGUCAUUAAUAUUUACUAUAUGCAAGAUACAGAAAGAUGAAGGAAGGAGUAAGAAGUUAUCCUUCGUGGAACUAUUCAAAGCAAAAAUGCAAAAUACCAGGGAAAGCUUUGAAGAACCAAGAUUUGAGCAGGUUCUUAGAAUAUAGAUUGGAUUGGAUUUGAUUUCAAGAAAGAUGAACGUGUAAAGCAGAAGUGGGAAGCCAAAAACUUUUUUCCAAAUUAGAAUUAAGCAUUCUUUCAAUGAACAUUUGGAAAUCAAGGUAGAAAAAUAUCCCUAGGGCCUAGCUGAGGAGUCUGUAUGUUGUUGGGUUUUGAUAGUAACCAGUCCAAGAUUUUGUUAUUAGACGUGGGUUUCUGAAUAGACAGGCAUUUCUGAACAGACAUGACAGGAUCAAAACAAUGUUUGAGCAAACUGCCCUUCAUCUACUGUGGAUAUGUUGGGGGAUGAUGGAAUAUAGUGAAAGAUAAUGGGUGCUCAUACAGCAGUCUAGACUUAAGGUGAUUCAACUACUAUAUAUUAAACUAGAUUAUCUUUUAUUUUUUAAUUUUGAAAUCUGGAUGCUCAAGCUCUGCCUGCACAACCACAUGAGGAAGAAGGAACAAUGACAACAAAAAUAACACUAAAUUUAAAUUUAAGAGUACUACUUUUAGGAAAUAGACAAACCAUUAUUUGGGUACAACUAAAGGCAACUGGCAUGGACUCAAAUAUUUUGGGGAAGAAAAAGACUAAAAGUUCUAAGGAAGAAAAUGCGAACCUUGAUAGUUUGAAAUAGUUAAAAAGACAGUGUAGAAACUGCUUAGGCAGUUUGAUUAUGGACUAUUAGAUGAUACUUGGGUCUGAUAAUGGUAUAAGGAGAAUAAAGUAUUUAGGGAUCCAAUAUUACGCCUGCAGCUUUUUCCAAAUAGUUCAUGGGGGAGGGGGAUGUGUAAGUGGUUAACUGAAGUCUAACUAGAUAGGUUUGUUGUAAGCUUAGGAUGUUUACAGUUCUUCAUGUUAAGUUGAGCGUGAUGGGAAGGGAAAGAAUGCUGAUCUUUAAAUUUUUGUCCUUAGUUAAGUUCUGUAUUUAGUGAAUUAAUUGCAUCCUAAAAAGUCAAACUUGAAAAGCACAUUUUAAAUGGCAAAUCUAUUUUUUACAUGUUUGUGAAGUUUUUAUUUUUUAGUAAACAGACCAUCAGAAGAGAACAAUGGUACAGAGCAGGGGUCAGCAGAUGGAUUUUGUAAAGCAUCAACUUGUAAAUAUUUUCAAGUUUAUUAGCUGUAUGGCUCUGGUUUCUGUUCCCUGUUCCAAAUGUUAAAGUCUACUGUUGUAUUCUAAAAGCAGCCAUGGACUGAAUGUAGCUGUGUUCCAAUAAAACUUACACAAAAGCAGGCAGUGGGCCAUAAUUUGCAACACCUGAUUCACAGCAUAAUUUUGUCACAAACUGAAAGUGUUCCUCAAUUAAAGUGAUUUUUUUUUCUUGAAAAAAAAAAAAAAAA
RNAcentral lists this long non-coding RNA (2498 nucleotides) under Homo sapiens (human). RNAcentral's name for it is "PSMA3 antisense RNA 1 (PSMA3-AS1)". Lineage: Eukaryota; Metazoa; Chordata; Mammalia; Primates; Hominidae. The record is from RNAcentral.